Molecule: small nucleolar RNA, 135 nt
Filed under: Balaenoptera musculus (blue whale)
Lineage: Eukaryota; Metazoa; Chordata; Mammalia; Artiodactyla; Balaenopteridae
Description: Small nucleolar RNA SNORA70 (ENSBMSG00010019188.1)
Rfam family: Small nucleolar RNA SNORA70
About the family: snoRNA U70 seems to be exclusive to mammals and is a member of the H/ACA class of snoRNA which contain H (ANANNA) and ACA box motifs.
Source: Rfam by way of RNAcentral
UUGCAGCCAAUUAAACCAACCCUGCUCUUUUCCCCGUGGGGGCCAGGUGUGCAAUGGCUGCAAGCAGCAGCCUCCUCAGUAAUGUAUGCAGCCUGUUGCCUGUAUGCGUUGCCCUAAGGGACCCUGGAGACAGGC